GACGAACGCUGGCGGCGUGCCUAAUACAUGCAAGUCGAGCGGACUGAAUGGGAGCUUGCUCUUCUUCCGUCAGCGGCGGACGGGUGAGUAACACGUGGGUAACCUGCCCGCAAGACCGGGAUAACUCCGGGAAACCGGAGCUAAUACCGGAUAACACCGAAGACCGCAUGGUCUUUGGUUGAAAGGCGGCGCAGGCUGCCACUUGCGAUUGGUCCCGCGGCGCUUUAGCUAGUUGGUGAGGUAACGGGUCACCAAGGCGACGUUGCUUAGCCGGCCUGAGGGGGUGACCGGCCACACUGGGACUGAGACACGGCCCAGACUCCUACGGGAGGCAGCAGUAGGGAAUCUUCCGCAAUGGGCGAAAGCCUGACGGGGCGACGCCGCGGGAGCGAAGAAGGCCUUCGGGUCGUAAAGAUCGGUUGUGAGGGACGAAGGAGCGCCGUUUGAAGAAGGCGGCGCGGUGACGGUACCUAACGAGGAAGCCCCGGCUAACUACGUG
RNAcentral lists this ribosomal RNA (499 nucleotides) under uncultured bacterium. Its description in RNAcentral is "partial 16S ribosomal RNA". It matches the Rfam family "Bacterial small subunit ribosomal RNA", at positions 28 to 507 of the family's 1533-position model. The record is from RNAcentral.